UGUAGCUCAGUUAGUACAGUGCUUGCCUAGAAUGCAAAGGACCUGGGUUCAAUCCCCAGCA
RNAcentral lists this transfer RNA (61 nucleotides) under Neotoma lepida (desert woodrat). It matches the Rfam family "tRNA", at positions 6 to 65 of the family's 71-position model. From Rfam's summary of the family: Transfer RNA (tRNA) molecules are approximately 80 nucleotides in length. Lineage: Eukaryota; Metazoa; Chordata; Mammalia; Rodentia; Cricetidae. The record is from Rfam by way of RNAcentral.